RNAcentral lists this transfer RNA (111 nucleotides) under hydrocarbon metagenome. RNAcentral describes it as "tRNA-Met". It matches the Rfam family "tRNA". Rfam says of the family: Transfer RNA (tRNA) molecules are approximately 80 nucleotides in length. Their secondary structure includes four short double-helical elements and three loops (D, anti-codon, and T loops). Further hydrogen bonds mediate the characteristic L-shaped molecular structure. tRNAs have two regions of fundamental functional importance: the anti-codon, which is responsible for specific mRNA codon recognition, and the 3' end, to which the tRNAs corresponding amino acid is attached (by aminoacyl-tRNA synthetases). tRNAs cope with the degeneracy of the genetic code in two manners: having more than one tRNA (with a specific anti-codon) for a particular amino acid; and 'wobble' base-pairing, i.e. permitting non-standard base-pairing at the 3rd anti-codon position. The record is from RNAcentral.
GCUGCGGUGGCCUAGCUGGUUAGGGCGCCAGACUCAUAGGGUAAUGUAGCAAUUCGAGGCGCCGUCAUCUGAGACAUCUGGAGAUCGUGGGUUCGGAUCCCACCCGCAGCA